Molecule: long non-coding RNA, 410 nt
Organism: Sapajus apella (tufted capuchin)
Lineage: Eukaryota; Metazoa; Chordata; Mammalia; Primates; Cebidae
Exons: 2
Source: RefSeq, a predicted model, not a curated record
GAUGUAUAAUGCAAAUUAGCGAUUCUAGCAACUAUCAGAUAAAUAAAUUGAAAUAUAGUAUGUAGGAGUACUGUUGUCUUUGAUUUGAGUAAUUCCGAAGCCCACACGUUUCUCACCAUUAUUUAUCAGAGUAUAGAGCUCUUGCCCUCAAAAAGCAAUAUUGGAGAUUUAACUUGUACGGUAUGUAUUUUUGUUUUAUCCUUUCCAUUAAAAAAUUGGCAACAAUUUUAAAAAUUGUUUUUGUUGCAUAUGAAACUAUAGGUAAGGGGCAAACUUUUUAAAUAAAGGUGACCUGAUGCUUCUGCUGAAAAAAAAAUAUAUAUAGAAAUCUGCUGACUGAGAAGAGGCACACUUGAUCAUUCCCAGAAAGAUAUACGCUAGCUUAGAGAACUGGAAUAUUCAUUGUUACU